RNA transcript from Saccostrea echinata, 946 nucleotides. RefSeq lists it as uncharacterized. The record is from RefSeq and is a predicted model, not a curated record. Lineage: Eukaryota; Metazoa; Mollusca; Bivalvia; Ostreida; Ostreidae. The transcript is spliced from 6 exons.
UUUGAGAGUUGUUCCAUCCUUAAAUGUAAAGCAAGGAUUUAAAACAGUGUGAGAAAAGGUUAACAUUGUCGCCUAUGGGAAAUGUAUUGGUGGACUGUAUACCCCAUAUAUAUUGAGUACGUCUAUUGGUUCAUGGUGAUACAGGAAAACUUCAAGGUUCCUGCAGAUGGUGUUUAAAACUAUUGGCCAGUGAACACAAACCCAUUUAAUUAUAUUUUGAAUCUUCACCAGGAGAAAAAAGAUGGCAGUACUUCUAAUGUAAGCAGCUACUAGGGAAGAUUUAAUGAAGGAAGAUGAGGAAGUGGAGAAAAAGCUGAAGAACAAGGAGGACAAGGUGAAGAAAGGACAAGGGCACAGUGACUUGCAGUGUGUGUCAUGUAACAUUAUUACAACAUCUAUAUCAUGGGUCCAUAAUUUUGAGUAAGUCAUUCAUCAACCACUUUAUCUGUACUGGAAACCAUUUCUGAGAGGGAUGAAGUGAUGGAAGAUAAUGAGCCAGAGGGUGGAACGGAAGAGAAAGGGAAAGAAAUAAAGAAAAAGGCAGAAUGAAAAAGGACUAGAACUUGCAAUAGAAGAAAAAGUUGAGGAAAUGAAGAGGAAGAAAUUGAAGAUGAAAAGAAGAGCUCUGGGAGGAAAAAAUUCCAUUUGAAAGAUGUGUGGACAAAAGAAAAACAGCCAUAGAGUGCCAAUGUGGAGUGGAAUAAGUCAGUAUGACUUAAACAUGGUCAAUUGAAGUGUUUGAAUGCCCCUCCAGAAAGCAGAACAAUCUUUGAAUUUGCAGGAAAGAGUAUAAAAUUUGCUGUUAAAAUAUCAUAACAGCCAGACAAAGAUUAAAUAACAACUACAUGUACAUCUAAAGAAUUCUUUUGUCAUAAUAGUGAUUCAUGUGCUAGUACAUGUGACAAGUGCUAUAACGACCUAAUAUAAGUGUGUUUUAGGAGCAUGU